CCUACGGGUGGCAGCAGUGAGGAAUAUUGGUCAAUGGCCGGAAGGCUGAACCAGCCAUGCCGCGUGAAGGUCAGUGCCCUAUGGGCGUUAAACUUCUUUUGUGCGGGAGCAAUAAUGGUCACGUGUGGCCAGACGAGAGUACCGUACGAAUAAGCAUCGGCUAACUCCGUGCCAGCAGCCGCGGUAAUACGGGGGAUGCAAGCGUUAUCCGGAUUUAUUGGGUUUAAAGGGUGCGUAGGCUGUGAGGUAAGUCAGCGGUGAAAUGCCCCCGCUCAACGGGGUGAAGUGCCAUUGAUACUGCCUGGCUGGAAUGCGGAUGCCGUGGGAGGAAUGUGUGGUGUAGCGGUGAAAUGCAUAGAUAUUACACAGAACACCGAUUGCGAAGGCAUCUCACGAAGCCGCGAUUGACGCUGAUGCACGAAAGCGUGGGUAUCAAACAGGAUUAGAUACCCUUGUAGUC
Molecule: ribosomal RNA, 460 nt
Filed under: uncultured bacterium
Lineage: Bacteria
Description: partial 16S ribosomal RNA
Rfam family: Bacterial small subunit ribosomal RNA
Source: RNAcentral